UGGCUAAUAGAACAAUGGUAGCUUAGCGCACUGUUAAUGCGAAAGUUGCAGGUUCAAAUCCUGCUAUGCCAA
RNAcentral lists this transfer RNA (72 nucleotides) under Eubacterium sp. RNAcentral's name for it is "tRNA-Asn". It matches the Rfam family "tRNA". Rfam says of the family: Transfer RNA (tRNA) molecules are approximately 80 nucleotides in length. Their secondary structure includes four short double-helical elements and three loops (D, anti-codon, and T loops). The record is from RNAcentral. Lineage: Bacteria; Bacillati; Bacillota; Clostridia; Eubacteriales; Eubacteriaceae.